Molecule: ribosomal RNA, 647 nt
Filed under: uncultured Lachnospiraceae bacterium
Lineage: Bacteria; Bacillati; Bacillota; Clostridia; Lachnospirales; Lachnospiraceae
Description: bacterial SSU rRNA
Rfam family: Bacterial small subunit ribosomal RNA
Source: RNAcentral
CUUCGGUGGAUUUAAUUUAUUUCUAGUGGCGGACGGGUGAGUAACGCGUGGGUAACCUGCCUUAUACUGGGGGAUAACAGCCAGAAAUGACUGCUAAUACCGCAUAAGCGCACAGAACCGCAUGGUUCGGUGUGAAAAACUCCGGUGGUAUAAGAUGGACCCGCGUUGGAUUAGCUAGUUGGCAGGGCAGCGGCCUACCAAGGCGACGAUCCAUAGCCGGCCUGAGAGGGUGAACGGCCACAUUGGGACUGAGACACGGCCCAGACUCCUACGGGAGGCAGCAGUGGGGAAUAUUGCACAAUGGGGGAAACCCUGAUGCAGCGACGCCGCGUGAAGGAAGAAGUAUCUCGGUAUGUAAACUUCUAUCAGCAGGGAAGAUAAUGACGGUACCUGACUAAGAAGCCCCGGCUAACUACGUGCCAGCAGCCGCGGUAAUACGUAGGGGGCAAGCGUUAUCCGGAUUUACUGGGUGUAAAGGGAGCGUAGACGGCGCAGCAAGUCUGAUGUGAAAGGCAGGGGCUUAACCCCUGGACUGCAUUGGAAACUGCUGUGCUUGAGUGCCGGAGGGGUAAGCGGAAUUCCUAGUGUAGCGGUGAAAUGCGUAGAUAUUAGGAGGAACACCAGUGGCGAAGGCGGCUUACUGGACG